This is a long non-coding RNA of Megachile rotundata (alfalfa leafcutting bee), 1197 nucleotides long. Lineage: Eukaryota; Metazoa; Arthropoda; Insecta; Hymenoptera; Megachilidae. The record is from RefSeq and is a predicted model, not a curated record.
AAGUGCCAUCGAUUUCGUCCGAGUCGUUAACACGUUGAGUGCUGCGAGCCUCUAAUAUUGUUUGUUGAACCUGUAUUCGCUCGUGUCGACUCGUCGUUUCUCAUUUUAGGAUGCUAUUUUAAAUUUAUUCUCGAGAUGAUGCUUGAGAUAGGAGACAAAUAUUAACAGAGGAUGUUAAUGCAUUUGGAGCUUGUUAUUCUUCGUUUUGGAAUUAUGGUUUUACUCUUAAAACUUGUACUAUAGGUAUAACAUCUUGAUUGAUACAAUUUGGUAAACUUGCUGCUAUAUUCUGACAAUGGAAUUUGUGAUAUAUUGAACUUGUAACUCUCACGAAAAUUAACUCUGAAGAACACGUGAACUUUCCGUAAAAUUUUGACGUCAAAAAUGAAACAACCCGUGAAGUUGUUUUCGUUUUUAUGGAUCAACAACUCCGUUAAUCAAUUUCGAGGGAAGAAGAUAGACGAGGCGUUGAACAUCCACAUCUUUCCAUAAAAGCACGAUUGACGUCACCAGCGAAGUUAUGUUACAACUUAAAACCAUCAACGCAAGGUUUUUUCGACUGGUCAAUAUUUCCACACAUUGAAGAGCAGCGUGGAUGAUAAACCGUCGUUACCAGAAGAGGAACGCCUCCGCGUUGGACCGUCGAAGAUUCAAAAUUAGUCCGAGUUACAACGAAACAGACGGCGAAUUGCCAACGGGAUCGAAGCGAUAUUACUUUUUUUCCUGCUCUCUUCCAUUCGUGAUUGUUUUAUAAAAUGGCUUGCAAGCCGGUUGCCAGACAAGGAUAAUAACCUGGAGAAAUUGUAGCAGACAACCAAGUUCUCGCGUCUAACUUCUGGCCGACAGCAGUCGGGUAUAAUAGCGAACGAAAAAGGUCUCAUAUUUCUGUCCAAAGUGAAAUCGAAUAUGAUAGCUUGCAAAAGUGUUUGAAUAUUAAUACUAUGACUCUUCCAUUCGCUGCAUAUGGCCAUCUUAUUGCAAAUUACUUUAUUUAAAUACUAGUUACAUUAGAAAUGAUAGACUAGUAUCAGGUGUUUCGGCACGGAGGGUCGGAAGUCCGCGGUCCCAGCGUUCAAGAUCCUCGCGGUGAACCGAAGCAACCUCCUAGUCUCCAGGUGGGCCGUACGCAUCAACUCGAUAUGAUCAAACACCAAAUCUGGCAUCUCCUGGAGACACACCACACUGGCCACAUUUUCU